CAAUAGCAUAUAUUAACGUUGUUGCAGUUGAAAAGCUCGUAGUUGAACUUUUGGUAGGAGCGACCUGGCCUUGGGCGCAUGCCCUUGUUUUGCCGUGUGUCGUAUCUGGCCAUCCUUUUCUUCUUCGGAAGGAAUCCUUUACUGUGAGUAAACUGGAGUGCUCAAAACAAGACGUUUGUUUGGUACAUUAAAGCAUGGAAUAAUAAGAUAGGACCUGGUUACUAUUUUGUUGGUUUGCAUAGCUAGGUAAUGAUUAACAGGGACAGUUGGGGGUAUUCGUAUUUAAUUGUCAGAGGUGAAAUUCUUGGAUUUAUGAAAGACGAACGACUGCGAAAGCAUUUACCAAGGAUGUUUNCAUUA
Molecule: ribosomal RNA, 360 nt
Filed under: uncultured eukaryote
Lineage: Eukaryota
Description: partial 18S ribosomal RNA
Rfam family: Eukaryotic small subunit ribosomal RNA
Source: RNAcentral